Molecule: long non-coding RNA, 782 nt
Filed under: Brassica napus (rape)
Lineage: Eukaryota; Viridiplantae; Streptophyta; Magnoliopsida; Brassicales; Brassicaceae
Description: long non-coding RNA (BNAP_LNC012064)
Source: RNAcentral
GUUAGUAUUCUCACUUCAGAACGGAACACAUCCAAGGCAAACCCGUUGAAACAACUGAUCACAGCUUGCUGAACAUCCAAUCCAAGAUUAUCCAAGGCUUUCAUGGUAGCGAGUAAAAGACCAGGUAUACGACCACAGAACAUAUGUAUGUUUACUUUUCUUCCUUCCCUUAAUCUAACCUCAACCUGUGGAUAUAAACAAAAGGGUAAAUGUCUCAACCAUGAAAAAAGAAAAGAAAAAAAAAGUCUAAGCCUUACUCUUGCUUGUUAGCCUUUGGGGCUUGGCAAAGAUGAAGGACACAACUCUUCCUUGACAGGGAAAGAAAGAGCCUGUGUUGUAGGUGUUAACAGAUGGAAGCUUGAUGGAGUUGGAGGCAAAGAUCCAGGUGGAGUUGGAGUUGACUCAAGUUCGUUGUGAAGAUCACUGAUCCUUUGUAAAAGCUCCUUCAGAUAAUCAAUUGCAUCUCCAAGUAUUGAUGAUCUAUCCAUCUGCAAAUCCAUCAAACCAAACCAAACCAAAGCUUAUCAGAAACAACACAACAAAUAAAAAGAGUAAAGACCUUAAGGAGAUAAAGAGAAACAUGAUUUUACUUUGCUGAUCUUGGGGACAAUUGAUCUAAGCAUAUAAAGCCUAUCAUUAAGCUUCUUCCUUCUUUGCAGGCAUCUGGAACAGAGUAAUCUGGAACAGAGUAGGCUAGUGCACCAGAGGAUGUUAACACCUCUAAAGGCUUCAAAACUUUCGCAAGGCUGGUGAAGCCUUGUGACUCCGAAGGAGUGAAUCCA